UGGGAAUUUGGACGAAUGGGCGAAAGCCUGAUCCAGCAAUGCCGCGUGUGUGAAGAAGGCCUUCGGGUUGUAAAGCACUUUUGUCCGGAAAGAAAUCCUUGGCUCUAAUACAGUCGGGGGAUGACGGUACCGGAAGAAUAAGCACCGGCUAACUACGUGCCAGCAGCCGCGGUAAUACGUAGGGUGCAAGCGUUAAUCGGAAUUACUGGGCGUAAAGCGUGCGCAGGCGGUUUGCUAAGACCGAUGUGAAAUCCCCGGGCUCAACCUGGGAACUGCAUUGGUGACUGGCAGGCUAGAGUAUGGCAGAGGGGGGUAGAAUUCCACGUGUAGCAGUGAAAUGCGUAGAGAUGUGGAGGAAUACCGAUGGCGAAGGCAGCCACCUGGGCCAAUACUGACGCUCAUGCACGAAAGCGU
Molecule: ribosomal RNA, 414 nt
Filed under: uncultured bacterium
Lineage: Bacteria
Description: partial 16S ribosomal RNA
Rfam family: Bacterial small subunit ribosomal RNA
Source: RNAcentral